This 766-nucleotide ribosomal RNA is filed under the name Staphylococcus kloosii. Its description in RNAcentral is "bacterial SSU rRNA". It matches the Rfam family "Bacterial small subunit ribosomal RNA", at positions 34 to 782 of the family's 1533-position model. Lineage: Bacteria; Bacillati; Bacillota; Bacilli; Caryophanales; Staphylococcaceae. The record is from RNAcentral.
CGCUGGCGGCGUGCCUAAUACAUGCAAGUCGAGCGAACAGAUAAGGAGCUUGCUCCUUUGACGUUAGCGGCGGACGGGUGAGUAACACGUGGGUAACCUACCUAUAAGACUGGAAUAACUUCGGGAAACCGAAGCUAAUGCCGGAUAACAUGUAGAACCGCAUGGUUCUACAGUGAAAGAUGGCCUUGCUAUCACUUAUAGAUGGACCCGCGCCGUAUUAGCUAGUUGGUAAGGUAAUGGCUUACCAAGGCAACGAUACGUAGCCGACCUGAGAGGGUGAUCGGCCACACUGGAACUGAGACACGGUCCAGACUCCUACGGGAGGCAGCAGUAGGGAAUCUUCCGCAAUGGGCGAAAGCCUGACGGAGCAACGCCGCGUGAGUGAUGAAGGUUUUCGGAUCGUAAAGCUCUGUUAUUAGGGAAGAACAAGUGCGUAAGUAACUAUGCGCACCUUGACGGUACCUAAUCAGAAAGCCACGGCUAACUACGUGCCAGCAGCCGCGGUAAUACGUAGGUGGCAAGCGUUAUCCGGAAUUAUUGGGCGUAAAGCGCGCGUAGGCGGUUUCUUAAGUCUGAUGUGAAAGCCCACGGCUCAACCGUGGAGGGUCAUUGGAAACUGGGAGACUUGAGUGCAGAAGAGGAAAGUGGAAUUCCAUGUGUAGCGGUGAAAUGCGCAGAGAUAUGGAGGAACACCAGUGGCGAAGGCGACUUUCUGGUCUGUAACUGACGCUGAUGUGCGAAAGCGUGGGGAUCAAACAGGAUUAGA